CCCUUCGAUGUUCGGGGCCGCACGCGUGCUACAAUGGUCGGAUCAGCAAGAGGACCGGAACGACGCAUCGGCGUCGGUCUCGGUCGGCGCAAGCCGGCGCGAGAUGGUCCGCGGGCCGAGAGGCUCGUGAAACCAAGAGAAACCCGAUCGUAGUCGGGACAGAGGCUUGAAAGUAUUUCUCUCGAACCAGGAAUUCCCAGUAGGCGCGAGUCAUCAUCUCGCGUCGACUGCGUCCCUGCCCUUUGUACACACCGCCCGUCGCUACUACCGAUCGAACGUUCUAGCGAGGUCGUCGGAUCGAUCGAACGCCGGCCUCCGGGUCGGCGCCGGCCGCGAAAGUGAUCGAACUCGAGCGUUUAGAGGAAGUAAAAGUCGUAACA
This 380-nucleotide ribosomal RNA is filed under the name uncultured eukaryote. RNAcentral's name for it is "partial 18S ribosomal RNA". It matches the Rfam family "Eukaryotic small subunit ribosomal RNA", at positions 1470 to 1796 of the family's 1831-position model. The record is from RNAcentral.